AGUGGCGCAAGGGUGCGUAACACGUGGACAAUCUGCCAAAAAGUGGGGGAUAGCUCGCCGAAAGGCGAAUUAAUACCGCAUGCGACUAGAAAGGACAUCCUUUCGACGUUAAAGCCGGGGCAACCUGGCGCUUCUUGAUGAGUCCGCGGCCUAUCAGCUAGUUGGCGGGGUAACGGCCCACCAAGGCUAUGACGGGUAGCUGGUCUGAGAGGACGACCAGCCACACUGGAACUGAGACACGGUCCAGACACCUACGGGUGGCAGCAGUCGAGAAUUUUUCUCAAUGGGGGAAACCCUGAAGGAGCGACGCCGCGUGAAGGAUGAAGGUCUUCGGAUUGUAAACUUCUGUCAUUUGAGAACAAACUGCACGGGUUAACUGCCUGUGCACUGAUAGUAUCAGAAGAGGAAGAGACGGCUAACUCUGUGCCAGCAGCCGCGGUAAUACAGAGGUCUCGAGCGUUGUUCGGAUUCAUUGGGCGUAAAGGGUGCGUAGGUGGCAAGGUAAGUCGGAUGUGAAAUCCCGGGGCUCAACCCUGGAACUGCAUUCGAUACUGCCUGGCUAGAGUACUGGAGAGGAGAUCGGAAUUCACGGUGUAGCAGUGAAAUGCGUAGAUAUCGUGAGGAAGACCAGUGGCGAAGGCGGAUCUCUGGACAGUUACUGACACUGAGGCACGAAGGCCAGGGGAGCAAACGGGAUUAGAUACCCCGGUAGUCCUGGCAGUAAACGGUGCGCGUUUGG
RNAcentral lists this ribosomal RNA (739 nucleotides) under uncultured bacterium. RNAcentral's name for it is "bacterial SSU rRNA". It matches the Rfam family "Bacterial small subunit ribosomal RNA", at positions 94 to 820 of the family's 1533-position model. The record is from RNAcentral.